CCCCGGUAUACAUAUAUCGUUAUCGAAAGAAAAGAAGUUGAAAUUUUGCUGCGAAGACUCCCUUGCUAUUUUCGAUGAAUCAAAACAACUGUGAAACCAACCGAAACCCAAUACCUAGUUGUCAGUGAGCGGAGCAAAUUUCCAUUGAUGCCCUCAUGGGUUCUUCCGAGCCUUUCAACAGUCCCCUAAGUUCCCGGAGAAAUGGCAUCGCUCCGCAGUAACAAUAUGCCUGCCUUCAAUGUACAUCUAUAGACUGUCUCCAGUCAUGACAGGCUACCAAGAACCUCUGACUUCAAUACUUCAACACUCCUGUUUGAUGGCCGUAUCUCAAGAAUUUGCUGCUAAGGUCGCUCUAGUCUUCAAUUAAUACAAGAAAGAAAAUAGCAAACGUGUUGCAGAGC
Cydia splendana is the source of this 401-nucleotide long non-coding RNA. RefSeq lists it as uncharacterized. The record is from RefSeq and is a predicted model, not a curated record. The transcript is spliced from 4 exons. Lineage: Eukaryota; Metazoa; Arthropoda; Insecta; Lepidoptera; Tortricidae.